AUUGAACGCUGGCGGAAUGCUUUACACAUGCAAGUCGAGCGGCAGCGCGGGGCAACCUGGCGGCGAGCGGCGAACGGGUGAGUAAUGCAUCGGAACAUGUCCAUGGAUGGGGGAUAGCCCGGCGAAAGCCGGAUUAAUACCGCAUGAGCCCGAGAGGGGAAAGUGGGGGACCGCAAGGCCUCACGUCGAUGGGUGGGCCGAUGACCGAUUAGCUAGUUGGUGAGGGAAUGGCUCACCCAGGCGAUGAUCGGUAGCUGGUCUGGAGAGGAUGAUCAGCCACACUGGGACUGAGACACGGCCCAGACUCCUACGGGAGGCAGCAGUGGGGAAUUUUGGACAAUGGGGGCAACCCUGAUCCAGCCAUUCCGCGUGAGUGAAGAAGGCCUUCGGGUUGUAAAGCUCUUUUGUCCGGAGCGAAACGGGGCGCGUGGAUAUCGCGCUCUACUGACGGUACCGGAAGAAUAAGCACCGGCUAACUACGUGCCAGCAGCCGCAGUAA
Molecule: ribosomal RNA, 499 nt
Filed under: uncultured bacterium
Lineage: Bacteria
Description: partial 16S ribosomal RNA
Rfam family: Bacterial small subunit ribosomal RNA
Source: RNAcentral